UACGGAGGAUGCGAGCGUUAUCCGGAUUUAUUGGGUUUAAAGGGUGCGCAGGCGGGCGAUUAAGCGUGAGGUGAAAUGGCACGGCUCAACCGUGUAACUGCCUCGCGAACUGGUUGCCUUGAAUGACCCUGCCGUGGGAGGAAUGGGUAGUGUAGCGGUGAAAUGCAUAGAUAUUACCCAGAACACCGAUUGCGAAGGCAUCUCACGAAGGGUUGAUUGACGCUGAGGCACGAAAGCGUGGGGAU
This 245-nucleotide ribosomal RNA is filed under the name uncultured Bacteroidales bacterium. RNAcentral describes it as "partial 16S ribosomal RNA". It matches the Rfam family "Bacterial small subunit ribosomal RNA", at positions 524 to 768 of the family's 1533-position model. The record is from RNAcentral. Lineage: Bacteria; Pseudomonadati; Bacteroidota; Bacteroidia; Bacteroidales.